This is a long non-coding RNA of Mastomys coucha (southern multimammate mouse), 559 nucleotides long. RefSeq lists it as uncharacterized. Lineage: Eukaryota; Metazoa; Chordata; Mammalia; Rodentia; Muridae. The record is from RefSeq and is a predicted model, not a curated record. The transcript has 2 exons.
UAGGACAUGGGCAGCCAACUGAUGAAUGGAACCCUAAAGAAAAAUAACUCUCCCUCCCUCAACUGCCAAAAGUUCCCUAUCUAGACACAGCUCUCCAAUUCAAAGACCUCCAACGAAUCAAUUGUGUUGCUAGACCUGUUUCACGUAUUUCUUUUUGAAAAAUUUUCUUCACUAUUUCAAAAUGCUUUAACUUGGACGAGGCUCUGCGUGUUGUUGGUGUGUUCCUUCUAACUGAUCUCCUCCGUGGACAAAGAUUUUCUGAUUAUCUUCUGUUUCACAUGAAAAAAAAAAUCUACUCUCAGUUUCUCAGCCUCCACAGGAAUCAUUCAAGAAUGCGUAGCACAAAGAAUCAUCCCUCAACUUCAUCCUUGUGUCUCUACUCUAAUGUACAUCAGCGGAGUGAUGACAUGCAGGGUCAUAUUUCAUCAGCACAUGUCUCUCUCCUAAUGUAUUGGGCUCCAUGCCAUCACUUUUAGACUGACACAAAAUUCCUGGUGAGUGAAAACUCAUAAAUAAUAUUACAAUUAAAAAUAAAAGAUUACUUAUGGAGUAGCAAGUA